UGGCGGUGAUUUGAAUCUUACCCGCGCUUCUGAUUUACUCAUGAAGUACAAGGGAAACACAUGGUUGAAUUUCUUGAUAUGAGCCA
This is a non-coding RNA of Hordeum vulgare subsp. vulgare (domesticated barley), 86 nucleotides long. The record is from Rfam. Lineage: Eukaryota; Viridiplantae; Streptophyta; Magnoliopsida; Poales; Poaceae.